GCCGGGCAUGGUGGUGGGUGCCUGUAAUCCCAGCUACUCAGGAGGCUGAGGCAGGGGAAUCUCUUGAACCCAGGAGAUGGAGGUUGCAGUGAGCCCCUGCCACUGCACUCCAGCCUGGGUGACAGAGUGAGACUCUGUCUAAA
RNAcentral lists this non-coding RNA (143 nucleotides) under Gorilla gorilla gorilla (western lowland gorilla). Lineage: Eukaryota; Metazoa; Chordata; Mammalia; Primates; Hominidae. The record is from Rfam by way of RNAcentral.